ACGUUAACUGUGUAGUGUAUUUCUAUAGACUCUUUUGCAGCGCAUUUUUUAUUUAAAGUUUUUAUUAUGGAAAUAUUCAAAUACACAUAAAAGUAGAGAAGAAUACAAUGAAACCCAACAUGCCCAUCACCCAACUUCAACAAUCAACAUUGGCAAUGCAUUGUAACAUAGUUGACAUCCUAAUAUAUUUAGUGAUUUUAAAAAUUAUUUAUUACGAAAAGAAUCCGGUUCAUUAAAAAUUCAAGCAGUGCAGAAGAGUGAAGUAAAAAAUAAAAAUCUUCUUACUCUCCCAAGGCCCUUAAUCCCAGUGCUCAGAAAUAACUUAACAGCUUUUAAUGUAUCAAUCUAGAGAUUUUCUCUGAAUAAAUUAUACAUUUUUACAAAUGUAAAAAAUUUUCACACAAGAAAUCAGACCAUACAUAUAUAUUAAUACUUGCUUCUUCCACUUAGUACUUCUUGGACUUCUUUAGAAGCAAAUACCUGCAGGUAGCCUGCAUUCUUCAAUGGUUGCAGAGUGUUUCACUGGAAAGCAAACUUAACCCAGGAACGAAGGGAGGGCGACAGCUAGUUGGCUUGUAAGUAGACUCUAUCUCAAAAGCCAGAGGCUUACAAAGUGGAUUGUGUACACAGUAGGGAGUGCAAAAUGCCUACUGGAAUGUGGGAAGAAAUAUGAUCUCCGUUCAUUUUUCUCUUAUCCCUCAAAAUUGUGGCAUACUUUAAAACAUCAUCAUAGUGCAGUAACACAGUCAUAUUAUUUAUACAUAUUUCCAUAUUAGGAGUGUGUACUCAAGAUUUUUAAGUGUAAGAUACAAGAUCAAAAAACUUGGAGACAAGCUGGAUGCGAUGGUUCAUGCCCUUUGGGAGGCCAAGGUAUGAGCCAUCACAACUGGCCACAUUUUAAAACUUCUAUGAAAAAUUUCAAAUAUAAACACAGGUAGAGAAAAUAGUAUAAUAAAUCCCCAAGUGCCCAUCACCCAGCUUCAAUAAUUAUCAACUCACAGCCAAUCUUGUUUCAACUAUAUCCACACACACCAGCCAACUUCAAUCCUUAUUUUUAAGCAAAAACUUAUACAUCGUAUCAUUUCAUUUUUUAAGUGUUUCAAUUUGCAUCUCUAAAAGGGGUCCUUUAAAAAAUGUAACAAUACCAUUAUCACACCUAAAAAUAAUUAAAAACCUUAAUAUCAAAUAUCCACUUUUCACAUUUUUCCAAUGGUCUCAACAGUUUGUUCAAAUCAGUAUCCAAAUAAGUCCAUAAAUUGUCUUGAUAGAUGUAGCUCUUAAGUCUCCUUUAACCCAUCGUUGUCUUUUCUCUUUGCAUUUCUGUUGUUGAAGCAGGACCAUAUGUCUUGUAGUUUUCCAGAGUCUGGAUUUUGCUGAUUGAGUCCCUUGUAUAUUAUUUGUCCCUCUGUCCCCUGUAUUUCUAAUGAAGGGGUAGUUAGAUCAGGAGGCUUCAUCAUGAUGAGAUGUGACUUUUGGCAGAACUGCUUCAUAGGUGGUAUAUGUACUUCCAUUAGGAGGCACAAAAUCUGAUUGCUCUCACUUUGUGAGGUUAGCAGUCACUGGCGAUUAUUGUCUAGAUCCAUAAAUUGUUGGGGGGGUAAAAUGGUGAUAUCCUAAUUCUAUCAUUUCUCUUAUUACCUGGAAUUUCUUUAAAAGCGUAUCCCAAAGGUAACUAUAAUUCUGUCCACUACCAUCAUUAACUCACAGAGUUAAAUACAAUACUAUGAGUUUCAAUCUCUUGCAGAUAUUAUCCUUGCUGAUGCUAAAGUUAUCUCAGCCUUGGCCAGUGGUAACUUCUAAGGUGCCUCCUGAAUCUUUCUGAUCUGGUACAAAACAAUGUUUCCUAGGUUCUUCUUGUACAUUUCUUUCUUACAGGUGGAAUUAGUGAUUUAUCCAAAGGAGUCUGGUUCCCUUGAAGAAAAAUGGUACUUAAGAGACCACAAUUAGGGCACUCAAUUUGACUUGCAUUUGAAUUAUGUCUAAAGCUAAUCAACUGAAUUAAGCAUGAGUCUUCUAUUAUUGUUUCUAAUACAUUCAUGUGGCUGCAUAUAUGUGGAUUUCUAAGGAUGGGACUCUGAUUUAAUAUAUAUAUAUAUAUAUAUUAAAUCGUGGUAGUAUAACUUGGUACAUCUAUCUGGGAGACAGUACCAUAAUUUUUAUCAAUGUCCCUCAAAAAACCUUUACCCCAACAAUUCCACUUUUAGGAAUUAAUUUCAUUAUUAGGCUGAGGAUUUUCCUAAGAAUUGUUUAAAAUUCUUUAGAAUUGUUUAAAAUAAUAAACAAUGUGGAACCUACAUGUCCAAACAAUGGGAAAUUGGUUAAGAAAAAAAAAAACAUACAUCCACAGAAAUAUUUAGAGUAGUUAAUGUGAUAUACAUUAUCAAUGUACCAUUAAAUGAGAAAGGUGGGUUACAAAAGUGUGCAUAUUAUGUUUUUGUCACACACAUAGAAAAAAAGUAACAAAGGCCAGGUACUCAAAUUUUUUUUUUUUUUUUUUUUUUUUUUUUUUUUUUUUUUUUUUUUUUUUGAGACAGAGUCUCGCUCUGUCACCCAGGCUGGAGUGCAAUGGCGCAAUCGCGGCUCACUGCAGCCUCUGCCUCCUGGGUUCAAGCAAAUCUCCUGCCUCUGCCUCCCGGGUUCAAGCAAAUCUCCUGCCUCUGCCUCCCGAGUAGCUGGGAUUACAAGCAUGUGCCACCACGCCCAGCUGUAUUUUUAGUAGAGACGGGGUUUCACCAUGUUGGCCAGGGUGGUCUCGAACUCCUGACCUCAAGUGAUCCACCCGCCUUGGCCUCCCAAAGUGCUGGGAUUACAGGUGUGAGCCACCGCACCCAGCCCUGCCAGGUACCCAAAUCUUACCAGUGCAAACUACACCAUUCUGUUGUGUUCCCACUGCUGGUUUAGGAUUUGACUUCCCUGGGUCUGCCCAAUCAAUAGUACUCCUUCAUCUGCUUCCAGAUUUCGUUCUUGUUCAAUUCACCUUGUCCUUGUUGGAUUACCCCACACCCUAUCACUUUAGUGUAGAUUUCAGGAAAAAGCAAAAACUAAUCAGUAUUUUGCUCAAUGCUCCGUUUUACCUAGCAUCCUGUUGCUUUUUAUAGAAGAGAUGCUCUGAAGAACUUACCAAUUAUAAAAUACAUGAAUUUCUACUGAAAAUAGUACAUACAUGUAUAUAUCUAAGACACACAAACAAUAUAGUAAUAUAAAACAGAAGGGCUAAAUUUCUAUCCUAAUCAUAUAAAGAGUUGAAUACAGAAACAAUAGUGAAAAAACUAAACUGGUAAUAAACGGAAAAGUAUAUCAAAUGGAAGUUGUUUUUAAUCAAGAACACAACAUGAGAGAUGCUGAAACUGAAGUUGUCCUCUGUGGGGCAAACCAAUUGUCUUUCUAGUUUCUAAGAAGUUGAAAGUGGUUUUGGGGAAACUAAAAUUUCUUACAACUUUAGUGACUUCUCUAAAGAUGAACUGUCCCUGGCAGCUGCUUUAAAACUACAUCUGGCUUGCACCCUGGUUUUGGGAAACCUUGACCCUUUAAAUAUGGAUAAUGAAUAUCUCUUCUUGUACUCCUCCAGGUGAACUGUCCAGGUUUGUAAUGCUUGACACUCUGAUACCUUCAAUUAGAAAUACUUAAUAAGAAAUGCCUUCUCAUGCACAAGCCCCGAAAUUUCAUAGUUGCCAAGGACACCAAUCCCAUCUUUAAGAAAUAAUAAUAAUUAGGUCUUACUACAGGGACAAAUACAAGGACUGAGGGUCGAGUAGUUUGCUCCGCUUGGACAAAUCAGAUUUCACUAUCCUAAGACUGUGACAAACACGAAGUACCCAAAGCAUAAAGUGUUGAAGACACCUCACAAAACAAGACUGAUCAGAGAAAGUUGUCAUUUCCUUAAAUAAAUGCUUCCCCAAACUGCAUGACAUUGCUUGACACUACAGGGAAUGCUAAAUCCAGAAGCAGUCAAUAAAUUUAUUUUAUUUCUGAUUUUGUUUGUGAAUUGGUACCUGAAUUUAUAAAACUGGGGAGGGAGGGAUGGAGGGAGAGAGGACGGACUGUAAACAGAAUUUAAGCAUUCAAUUACAAGUAAAAAUAACUAAUUUAUAAUUACCCAAAUCAAUCAAUAUUGAGAGUUUCAUAAAUAACUAAACAUAAUAUACAUUUGAUGCUCCUAAAUUAACAAAGUAAUUCACAAAGUAUUACAUAUUUACUCAUUUAACAAGUAUUACUUAUAGCUAACCUUGACUAAAAAAAGAAUUUGAAGCAGAUUACCUCAUGCAGGGAAUUAUUCUGGGCUUACAAUUCCUUUUCUAGGUAACACUGAAAUGUCAAUUCUCUCCUUAUUUGCUAUGAAGAGAAAAAUGAUGGCUCAAAAUUUUAAACAAACUUAUCAUUAAACUAGGCUUUUUAAAAUAAAUGAGGUACUUAGCAUUCAAAACUUUGAAAAACACAUAAAAACAAGACCAUAAGUUUUCAAAAUGACUCACCUCUUCCACCAAGACAAGCACUGAAUAUUGAUUAGAAACAAUGUAAUGCAGUUGAGAUUAGUUGGGUGUUUUAAAAAGGUUUAUUGUGUGUACGCAGAGUAUCUAACUGGAAAUUUUCUACAUGGAUUCCAAAG
Molecule: long non-coding RNA, 4606 nt
Filed under: Homo sapiens (human)
Lineage: Eukaryota; Metazoa; Chordata; Mammalia; Primates; Hominidae
Description: HSALNT0220834
Source: RNAcentral